UUGGAGGGCAAGUCUGGUGCCAGCAGCCGCGGUAAUUCCAGCUCCAAUAGCGUAUAUUAAAGUUGUUGCAGUUAAAAAGCUCGUAGUUGAAUUUCGGGGUUAGUAGGUUGGUCAUGCCUCUGGUAUGUACUGGUCUCACUGAUUCCUCCUUCCUGAUGAGCCGUAAUGCCAUUAAUUUGGUGUUGCGGGGAAUUUGGACUGUUACUUUGAAAAAAUUAGAGUGUUUAAAGCAAGCUAACGCUUGAAUACAUUAGCAUGGAAUAAUGAAAUAGGACGUUCGAUCCUAUUUUGUUGGUUUCUAGGAUUGACGUAAUGAUUAAUAGGGAUAGUUGGGGGCAUUAGUAUUCAAUUGUCAGAGGUGAAAUUCUUGGAUUUAUUGAAGACUAACUACCGCGAAAGCAUUUGCCAAGGAUGUUUUCAUUAAUCAAGAACGAAAGUUAGGGGAUCGAAGACGAUCAGAUACCGUCGUAGUCUUAACCAUAAACUAUGCCGACUAGGGAUCAGAUGAUGUUAAUUUUUUAAUGACUCAUUCGGCGCCUUACGGGAAAC
RNAcentral lists this ribosomal RNA (549 nucleotides) under uncultured Glomeromycotina. RNAcentral's name for it is "SSU rRNA". It matches the Rfam family "Eukaryotic small subunit ribosomal RNA", at positions 548 to 1098 of the family's 1831-position model. Lineage: Eukaryota; Fungi; Glomeromycota. The record is from RNAcentral.